CCCUUAGAUGUCCUGGGCCGCACGCGUGCUACACUGACGCCUACAGCGAGUACUUCCCAGCCCCGAGAGGUGGCUGGUAAUCAGCAAUAGGCGUCGUGAUGGGGAUAGAUCUUUGGAAUUAUGGAUCUUGAACGAGGAAUGCCUAGUAAGCGCAGGUCAUUAGCCUGCGCUGAUUAAGUCCCCGCCCUUUGUACACACCGCCCGUCGCUCCUACCGAUUUCGAGUGGUCCGGUGAAUCUUUCGGACUGCGCGCGGCCUCGUGCCGUGUCGCGGAAAGUCAGGUAAACCUUAUCACUUAGAGGAAGGAGAAGUCGUANCA
RNAcentral lists this ribosomal RNA (319 nucleotides) under uncultured eukaryote. RNAcentral's name for it is "partial 18S ribosomal RNA". It matches the Rfam family "Eukaryotic small subunit ribosomal RNA", at positions 1470 to 1796 of the family's 1831-position model. The record is from RNAcentral.